RNAcentral lists this long non-coding RNA (746 nucleotides) under Equus asinus (donkey). Its description in RNAcentral is "lncRNA (ENSEASG00005027420.1)". The record is from RNAcentral. Lineage: Eukaryota; Metazoa; Chordata; Mammalia; Perissodactyla; Equidae.
AGGGCCUGAGAGUGGAAUGAGCUUGCUUCAGCGGAGUCAGUGAGAGGCCCUGGCGCCCAGAACAUGGGAGCAAGGGAGCGGGGCCAUUGUGAGAGCAGAAAGACAGACAGGUGCCGGGUCAGGUAGGACUCUGAGGACCGAGGGAAGGAGUUUGGAUUUUACUCUGGUUCAGGGAGAGGCCUUUGGAGGGUUUCAAGUAGGGGAAAUAUGUAAUCUGAUUUUGCUUCAAGAAGACUCCUCCAGCUGGCUGCUCUGUGGAGGAAACAGACGGACGGAAGAGAGAACUCAUCAAUACCUGCAUGCCACAGGAUGAUGCUCGUGGAGGACAGGAUCUGAAGUCAUCAUGAGGCAUAUGGAAGAAGCAGUACCAUCACCGUCCAGAUGAUGCUUUGUUAGAUGCUUCCCUCUCACCAGGUCCCUGCAGUGCAGUUUCUUGCCCAGGACAUUCCUGGCCAAACUGUGGGCUUGGAUGGAGGCCAAGCAGCUGAGUACGAGUCUAGAUAAGAUGGAAGGUGAUGUUGCUCAGGGGAAAACAGCUGGCUAAUGUCAUUCAGUUCAUCUUGGCUCUUCCACCUGGGUAAUUUUCCAUUUUUAUAUGAUUUCAAUAUCUGAUAUUGCAGCAUCCAGGAUUACUUUUGAAGCCUCAAAUAAUAGCUCAAAAGGUCAAGAAAGCAAUGUCAUGAUGAGAAAUGAUAUUAGAAGCAACACAUGCAUGAUCUUACGCUUGUGAGAGAACUUUGGUGUAU